RNAcentral lists this non-coding RNA (31 nucleotides) under Rattus norvegicus (Norway rat). The record is from RNAcentral. Lineage: Eukaryota; Metazoa; Chordata; Mammalia; Rodentia; Muridae.
ACCUGAGAUCUACUUCUGUGGUCCUCUCACC